GCGGAUGCAGUGUAACGGUUACACGCCACAUUUGGGAUGUGGAAUAGGCGUUCAAUUCGCACAUCUGGCA
This 70-nucleotide transfer RNA is filed under the name Crassvirales sp. RNAcentral describes it as "tRNA-Pro". The record is from RNAcentral. Lineage: Duplodnaviria; Heunggongvirae; Uroviricota; Caudoviricetes; Crassvirales.